GCAUAUCACAUGACCAUUGACAUACACUGGACUAAACAGGAAGCAGAUCGUCUACUCUGCAGUUGGCUGAUCAGUAGCUGAAAAUACAGUGAACGAGGUUCAGCAAAAGUGAAAAGACCAGAGAUUUCUUUGCUUGGACUGACGAUGUGGAAAUGUUACUGAAAGUAACACGUAAGUAUAAAUGGAGUCGUCACAAAACAAAUAUGGCAACAUGUAAGAGUGGUACCAGGAGCAUUGUUCAUCAUUACCAAAGGUCUCCGUUUUGGCAUGUCCAGACUGAAACGUUUUCAAAUUUAAUUGGGGCAAACAGCUUUUACAGGGUCUCGAAAACUCCAGAGUAGUUUGGAGUAAACGCAGCAAAAGUGAUGCAUUUUAAGACUUAAAGCGUUGGUAUGGAUCUGGCUAAAGUACUGUGGGCGGUUGAACACUGUAGCUUCCAUGGUGUAAAACUUGUUGGACAAACUGUUUUCUUUUAGCUGGUGUGUUGCAUGUGAAAAGUUGGGCACUAGAAGUCAUGCAACACACCAUAAUCAAUCAAUCGACCAAUCACACAACCGCGCUUCAGUACGUUGUUGGAGGGUAGAGAUCUGAUCCUGACACGAUAUAAACCUGCAACGCUUCCAUCGAAAAACGCUGCGUCAUCACAUUCACUUCCUGUGCCAACUGUUUGAUCGAUGAGUGGAUGUUUCCCUCUGCCCUUCCUGCAGGAUCAAUAAUCUGUUGGAACCUCUGAACCACCGCAACAGUUUUCUGCCUCAGCUUGUUUUGCCCUGGGAAUAUCUUCUGUUUGAUCAUGUGGGCCGGGCGCCGGGAGAAAUGGCUCUGUUCAAUGACUCACGUGGUAAACAGGUGAAAGGAGGAGAAAGAGAAAAAAUGUUUCUCUCUAUCAGGCCUGUUAUGUUUCCCUCUGCAGAUCAUUUCAGGUCACAGGCUCAUGUUGGAGGGAAAAAUCACUCCCAGCCUGAGUGCGGUUCGUAGGAAAGUCACGGAAAAGUGUUCGAAAGCUCCCGAAAAAAAAAAAAAUCCCUGAAUGGGUUCUCUGUGGGAGUACAACUAAUUUUAUUAGCCCCCUUGGAAACAUUCAACCUAACAAGUGGAAAGCAGUUUCUGCAUAAAUUAAAGAUAAUCCAGAGUAAAUUAUGCAAAUAUAUUCGCUCAGAUAAAGGAGGGGGCGGCGUGGUCGUUUAUUGUGAGGUUAAAAAAUCCGAGCCAGUGGUUGAAACCGAACCGAGGGAAACUUUCACUUCAAAGUUUGUGAGGGUCUCGGCCUGUGAGGAAAUUACACGGGGAUGUUGCAUCAUCUGUAAAUCACCGAGAGGAUGAACGAGUCCCCGAUGAGCCGGGAAUCAAACUGAAGACAAGAAUCAUAAACAGCAGGUGAAGUUUGGUGAAGUUUUCCUGCCAUAACACGCUCAUCCCGUCAGUUUCCAGGCUCAUCUCUUCCCUUCCAGGCGGCCAUUAGUUUCACCUUAAUUACCAAAAAAUCUACGUGCAGAGACUUGAAGACAAAUCGGCACCGUCAGCUUUUAAUCGAGGCGUCGUCGUCAUUCUGUAACGUAGUCGAGAGUUUUUUGAAAACUCUCCCUGGUGGUCAUGGCCGGAUUAACCUAUUAGGGGACCACAGGGCAAGAGUUGGCUGUUGGACCCCACACUGGGGUGCAAUGCCAAGAACUGAGAUCCUGGUUUCUUCUGGUGAAUUCUUGGCAAAAUCUGCUCCAAUUUCACAGACAAAAAAUAAAAAAUAAAAAGAAAUAUGCAGGAUGCUGGGAUUUUAACCAUCUGUGAACUUGUCUUGGAAUAAAAAACACGUUCUCCAAACCUCAUUAAAACUACCGUGCAGCUGGAACCCUGCUGUUCCAGUAAUUUAAAUGGAUCAGCAUUUCAGCUCCUAACUGUUCAGCUGUGUGGAACAAGUCUUCAGAUCCUUUAUUUAAAUAAGCAGGUCCGCGUUUCACUGCUUAAAUUUUCAUUGAAAUAACUGUUCAAAGCACUAAGAGAUGAAAUCCUAUAAUAUUUCAUACAAAAAGCAAAGAUAUGAGAACAGUUUCUUCUUCCUUCUCCCGUUAAUCAUAUCACAACCCUUCAGAUUUAUAUUGUGAUGGGAGCCGCUAGAUUAAACUGUAACUGUAUGUGACGUAGUUAAAACCAUCUCCACCUGCAGCAGCUACGACAGUAAAAUGCUGCUGAAACACUGAUGCAUCAGUUUUGAUUAUUUAAAACGUUUUACUUUUACUUUUACUUAAGUAGGAUUCUGACUGAGCGACUUUAACUGUGAUCCAAUUCAGGGGACGAAUCCUUCAGAGGAGGCGGUGCUUCGCUGUCCGGGAAGGCCACACCGAAAUGAGCCGGUCUGGCCUGCGGCGGAGCCUUACCGUUGCGUUGCGAACCGCGGCUCCUGUCGCCUAGCAACCUUGACAACAUGAACCUUGGGAAAGGUUGGACCAACAAAGAUUCACCCGUUGGAGCCGCAUUUCAAGCAGCCUGCGAAAUGGGAGGAGCUAGUCGCACCGCCGUGACGCAAUCCGGACUUCAAAUGCAGCCUCAGAAGGAUGCGGCCCCUGAACUGGGACGCAGCUUUUGACCAGUAAUGGAGUAUUUUUUUCCCCUGGGCGAGGUGGAAGCGUCUCCCGUGGGGUCAGGAGGUCGGCGGCCUCCGCGAACUCCACCACACACACUUCAAAACAAAACAAAACCAAACCUCCUCUUUGUCGUUUCACUCAAUUACUCUCUAGGUUGUGUUAAUGACUCCCUGCCGUCUGCAGGCUGACAGUCACCAGCUGCCGCUGCGCUCCGACAUCUGAUGAUGGUACAACACCAACUCCUCUGCUGAUGCUGCAACGAUGAAGUUCAUAUGUGCAGUUACAGGUAUAACUUCAGAUUUAACUGGUGAGUGUGAGACUUUAGUUUGUUACAGACGUCUUCUUCUUUUGUUGGAGCUUUGUGGGAAAUAAAUGACGUGGGAACACAA
Seriola aureovittata is the source of this 2968-nucleotide long non-coding RNA. RefSeq lists it as uncharacterized. The transcript has 3 exons. The record is from RefSeq and is a predicted model, not a curated record. Lineage: Eukaryota; Metazoa; Chordata; Actinopteri; Carangiformes; Carangidae.